CUGGUGGCUAGGGGAGGCAGGUAGCCUGGUGGCUAGGGGAGGCAGGUAGCCUGGUGGUUAGGGGAGGCAGGUAGCCUGGUGGUUAGGGGAGGCAGGUAGCCUGGUGGUUAGGGGAGGCAGGUAGCCUGGUGGUUAGGGGAGGCAGGUAGCCUGGUGGUUAGGGGAGGCAGGUAGCCUGGUGGCUAGGGGAGGCAGGUAGCCUGGUGGCUAGGGGAGGCAGGUAGCCUGGUGGCUAGGGGAGGCAGGUAGCCUGGUGGCUAGGGGAGGCAGGUAGCCUGGUGGUUAGGGGAGGCAGGUAGCCUGGUGGCUAGGGGAGGCAGGUAGCCUGGUGGCUAGGGGAGGCAGGUAGCCUGGUGGCUAGGGGAGGCAGGUAGCCUGGUGGCUAGGGGAGGCAGGUACCGUACCAGUGUCUCUACAUGUUCCUCACCUCCAGCACCGUACCAGUGUCUACAUGUGAAAACAGUGUGUUUCUAGGAUCUGUGGUUUAAAAAAAAGAGAAGAAGAAGAAAGGUCCUAACAGAAAAUGCGUCUCUGUGACAUCACAGGGUUGGAUUCAAAAAAGUAAGAACAAUGAGUUUCUAGCCAGAGGGAGGACAUUUCCUACUCCGCGGGUCACUGUGAAUCUCAUCGUGUUUUUUAACAUCUCUGUUUUGAACUUUUAAUGAUGUUGUCAAUGUAAACAGCAUACAGUAUGUAGACACUGGUAUUAUGCUGGAACAGACUUGUCAAUGUAAACAGCAUACAGUAUGUAGACACUGGUACUAUGCUGGAACAGACUGUUCAAUAAACAGCAUACAGUAUGUAGACACUGGUAUUAGGCUGUAACAGACUGGUCAAUAGAAACAGCAUUGGAUGGAUGUCAGACGUUUUGAAAGGUCCUUGGGACGUCGAUAUAUGCCUUCCCUCUCCACUUACCAUAAGAAAAGAUUUCCCGAGCACUGGCACAAACUCAAGAUGCUCGAAGACGAAGCGUGGUCAGACCAAGCAUGCUGCUUAAGACCCCUGGACCACGGCAGUUCACAACGCUCCAACAAGCCGGGAGAAUACUUGAUGGAAGCUUAUUUUGUUUUAAGCCUUCCCCCCCCCAAACCAUAGCCCUGACCUUAACCACUCAGAAUGAUCACCUCCCCCCCCCAAACCAUAGCCCUGACCUUAACCACUCAGAAUGAUAACCCCCCCCCCCCCAAAACCAUAGCCCUGACCUUAACCACUCAGAAUGAUAACCUUCCCCCCAAACCAUAGCCCUGACCUUAACCACUCAGAAUGAAUACCUAAACUAACCUCCCCCCCAAACCAUAGCCCUGACCUUAACCACUCAGAAUGAUAACCUUCCCCCCAAACCAUAGCCCUGACCUUAACCACUCAGAAUGAUAACCUUCCCCCCAAACCAUAGCCCUGACCUUAACCACUCAGAAUGAAUACCUAAACUAACCUCCCCCCAAACCAUAGCCCUGACCUUAACCACUCAGAAUGAUAACCCCCCCCCCCAAACCAUAGCCCUGACCUUAACCACUCAGAAUGAUAACCUCCCUCCCCCCCCAAACCAUAGCCCUGACCUUAACCACUCAGAAUGAUAACCUUCCCCCCAAACCAUAGCCCUGACCUUAACCACUCAGAAUGAAUACCUAAACUAACCUUCCCCCAAACCAUAGCCCUGACCUUAACCACUCAGAAUGAUAACCUCCCCCCAAACCAUAGCCCUGACCUUAACCACUCAGAAUGAUAACCUUCCCCCCAAACCAUAGCCCUGACCUUAACCACUCAGAAUGAUAACCUUCCCCCCCAAACCAUAGCCCUGACCUUAACCACUCAGAAUGAUAACCUUCCCCCCCAAACCAUAGCCCUGACCUUAACCACUCAGAAUGAAUACCUAAACUAACCUUCCCCCAAACCAUAGCCCUGACCUUAACCACUCAGAAUGAAUACCUAAACUAACCUUUUUGUUUUAACCCUGUAACAAUGCGGAAUUAACCCUGUAACCACGCAAAAUUAACCCUGUAACCACGCAAAAUUACCCUGUAACCACACGAAAUUAACCCUGUAACCACACGAAAUUAACCCUGUAACCACACGAAAUUAACCCUGUAACCACACGAAAUUAACCCUGUAACCACGCGAAAUUAACCCUGUAACCACGCGAAAUUAACCCUGUAACCACACGAAAUUAACCCUGUAACCACACGAAAUUAACCCUGUAACCACGCGAAAUUAACCCUGUAACCACGCGAAAUUAACCCUGUAACCACGCGAAAUUAACCCUGUAACCACGCGAAAUUAACCCUGUAACCACGCAAAAUUAACCCUGUAAACAGGGAUUGACUGGAUAUAAUGAGAUAAUGAACAUGAAGUUGGCUGAGAUAAUGAACAUGAGGUUGGCUGAGAUAAUGAGAUAAUGAACACGAGGUUGGUUGGCGAUAAUGAACAUGAGGUUGGCUGAGAUAAUGAGAUAAUGAACAUGAGGUUGGCUGGAGGUAAUGAGAUAAUGAACAUGAGGUUGGCUGGAGAUAAUGAACACGAGGUUGGUUGGCGAUAAUGAACAUGAGGUGGGCUGGAGGUAAUGAGAUAAUGAACAUGAGGCUGGUUGGCUGGAGGUAAUGAGAUAAUGAACAUGAGGCUGGUUGGCGAUAAUGAACAUGAGGUUGGCUGGAGGUAAUGAGAUAAUGAACAUGAGGCUGGUUGGCGAUAAUGAACAUGAGGUGGGCUGGAGGUAAUGAGAUAAUGAACAUGAGGCUGGCUGGAGGUAAUGAGAUAAUGAACAUGAGGCUGUUUGGUGAUAAUGAACAUGAGGUUGGCUGGAGAUAAUGAGCAUGAGGUUGGCUGGAGGUAAUGAGAUAAUGAACAUGAGGCUUGCUGGAGAUAAUGAACAUGAGGUUGGCUGGAGGUAAUGAACAUGAGGUUGGCUGGAGGUAAUGAGAUAGUGAACAUGAGGCUGGCUCGAGGUAAUGAGAUAAUGAACAUGAGGCUGGUUGGCGAUAAUGAGAUAAUGAACAUGAGGUUGGCUGGAGAUAAUGAGAUAAUGAACAUGAGGCUGGUUGGCGAUAAUGAGCAUGAGGUUGGCUGGAGGUAAUGAACAUGAUGUUGGCUGGAGGUAAUGAGAUAAUGAACACGAGGCUGGUUGGCGAUAAUGAGAUAAUGAACAUGAGGUUGGCUGGAGAUAAUGAACAUGAGGUUGGCUGAGAUAAUGAGAUAAUGAGCAUGAGGUUGGCUGGAGGUAAUGAGAUAAUGAACAUGAGGUUGGCUGGAGGUAAUGAACAUGAGGUUGGCUGGAGAUAAUGAGAUAAUGAACAUGAGGUUGGCUGGAGAUAAUGAGAUAAUGAACAUGAGGUUGGCUGGAGGUAAUGAACAUGAGGUUGGCUGGAGGUAAUGAACAUGAGGUUGGCUGGAGAUAAUGAGAUAAUGAACACGAGGCUGGCUGGAGAUAAUGAGAUAAUGAACAUGUGGCUUGCUGGAGAUAAUGAGAUAAUGAACAUGAUGCUGGUUGGCGAUAGUGAGCAUGAGGUUGGCUGGAGGUAAUGAACAUGAGGUUGGCUGGAGGUAAUGAGAUAAUGAACAUGAGGUUGGCUGGAGGUAAUGAACAUGAGGUUGGCUGGAGGUAAUGAACAUGAGGUUGGCAGAGAUAAUGAGCAUGAGGUUGGCUGGAGGUAAUGAGAUAAUGAACAUGAGGUUGGCUGGAGGUAAUGAGAUAAUGAACAUGAGGUUGGCUGGAGGUAAUGAACAUGAGGUUGGCUGGAGAUAAUGAGAUAAUGAACAUGAGGUUGGCUGGAGAUAAUGAGAUAAUGAACAUGAGGUUGGCUGGAGGUAAUGAACAUGAGGUUGGCUGGAGGUAAUGAACAUGAGGUUGGCUGGAGAUAAUGAGAUAAUGAAAAUGAGGCUGGCUGGAGAUGAGAUAAUGAACACGAGGCUUGCUGGAGAUAAUGAGAUAAUGAACAUGAGGCUGGUUGGCGAUAAUGAGCAUGAGGUUGACUGGAGGUAAUGAACAUGAGGUUGGCUGGAGGUAAUGAGAUAAUGAACAUGAGGCUGGUUGGCGAUAAUGAGCAUGAGGUUGGCUGAGAUAAUGAGAUAAUGAACAUGAGGUUGGCUGGAGGUAAUGAGCAUGAGGUUGGCUGAGAUAAUGAGAUAAUGAGCAUGAGGUUGGCUGGAGGUAAUGAGAUAAUGAACAUGAGGUUGGCUGGAGAUAAUGAGAUAAUGAACAUGAGGUUGGCUGAGAUAAUGAGAUAAUGAGCACGAGGUUGGCUGGAGGUAAUGAGAUAAUGAACAUGAGGUUGGCUGGAGGUAAUGAACAUGAGGUUGGCUGGAGAUAAUGAGAUAAUGAACAUGAUGUUGGCUGGAGGUAAUGAACAUGAGGUUGGCUGGAGGUAAUGAGAUAAUGAGCACGAGGUUGGUUGGAGAUAAUGAGUUAAUGAACAUGAUGUUGGCUGGAGAUAAUGAACAUGAGGUUGAAAAGUGGAGUGGCUGUCUAAGAGAUAUUUAUCUUCCUAUAUAUUGUACAUUUGAUGUAUUUGAAUACUGUUUCAUGUAACGCUGAAAUAGUGGAUUUAAUCAAAUUAACGUAUUGUUCUUUUUGUAUCCCCAAAAAGUUGUUCAUCAUCUAUUUUUUAAGUGAAAUUAUUAUUAUUGUCUGCACUUUAAUUAUUAAAAUAAAAUUAUUGAAUGAAAUAUUA
This is a long non-coding RNA of Oncorhynchus masou masou (cherry salmon), 4661 nucleotides long. RefSeq lists it as uncharacterized. The transcript has 2 exons. NCBI's taxonomy places the organism in Eukaryota, Metazoa, Chordata, Actinopteri, Salmoniformes, Salmonidae. The record is from RefSeq and is a predicted model, not a curated record.